RNAcentral lists this ribosomal RNA (275 nucleotides) under uncultured bacterium. Its description in RNAcentral is "partial 16S ribosomal RNA". It matches the Rfam family "Archaeal small subunit ribosomal RNA", at positions 473 to 747 of the family's 1478-position model. The record is from RNAcentral.
AUACCGGCGGCCCGAGUGGCGGCCACUAUUAUUGGGCCUAAAGCGUCCGUAGCCGGGCUGGUAAGUCCCCCGGGAAAUCUGGCGGCUUAACCGGCAGACUGCCGGGGGAUACUGCCAGCCUAGGGACCGGGAGAGGCCGGGGGUAUUCCCGGGGUAGGGGUGAAAUCCUGUAAUCCCGGGAGGACCACCUGUGGCGAAGGCGCCCGGCUGGAACGGGUCCGACGGUGAGGGACGAAGGCCAGGGGAGCGAACCGGAUUAGAAACCCCAGUAGUCC